Molecule: long non-coding RNA, 1283 nt
Filed under: Equus caballus (horse)
Lineage: Eukaryota; Metazoa; Chordata; Mammalia; Perissodactyla; Equidae
Description: lncRNA (ENSECAG00000056982.1)
Source: RNAcentral
CCACGAGAGCCAUCCUCUAGUUAAAGGCAUUGUGUCUCCAGGAGGCCCGGGUUACAGGGCAGCCACCCAUAGGCAACGCCACACAUUUAACCCAUAAUUGCCCAUCAGCCCAGAACCUGGCUGCAGAGAAAAGCUACCAGCUGUUGGUAACCGAACACUGCCUUGCUAAGAGAAGCUUUUUGACAGCCUCUUCACAUAAGUGGGGGAAAUGGGUGCCGCAAAGCUCUGGAUCAGGAGUGUAAUGGCUUCCAUGGGAGCGGCCAAAUUGCUGCAGUGAUGGCAUCUCAGCUUUCUCCUCCCAGGGCAUGGGCCAGUUAGACUUCGGAUACUGAGAGGAAUGUGGAAAUGCAAAUGGCACCAAGGAAGUGCACAUAAGUUCAUGGAUGAUGGAUCCAAUGUGGAAUCAGGGAACGCUUGGGUCACACCCUUAACCAGGCCUUAUCUCUGAGGGAAGAAGACAACUGCCUAUCCAGCUUGAGCUGAUGUCCUCCAACAUCCUGUCACUGUCCCCCAGCACAUAGUUGUAUAUUUUAGUUGUGGGUCCCUCCAGUUGUGGCAUGUGGGACGCCGCCUCAAUGUGUCCUGACGAGCAGUGCCAUGUUUGUGCCCAGGAUGCGAACCGUGGAAACCCUGGGCCGCCGAAGCAGAGCCUGCGAACUUAACCACUCGGCCACGGGGCCAGCCCCCCAAAUUCUUUUUUUAAAUUGAGGUAGGAAUUCCACUGUAUGGAUAUACCACAUCUUAUUAUUCAUCCACCUCUUGUUGUACAUUUUCCCCCUAAUGUAGUGGGUUAAAUUUUGUUCCCUAAAAAGAUACAUUCAAAUCCCAACCUUUCGUACCUGAGAACGUAACCUUACUUGGAAAUAGGAUUUUUGCAGAUAUAAUCGGUUAACAUGAGGUUAUACUGGAUUAGGGUGAGCCCUAAAUCUAAUCACUGGGAUCCUUAUAAGAAGAGGACAGACACACAGAGACACAAAGGGAAGAAGACCAUGUGGUAAUAGAGGCAGAGAUUGGAGUGACACGGCCUAAUCAAGGGAAUCCCAAGGAUUGCCCAGCGACCCCCAGAAGAUGGCAGAGAGGCAUGGGACACGCCCUCCCCUGGACCCUCCGGAAGGAACUAACGUGUCGAUACCUUGACUGAAGACUUCUGGCCUCCUGAACUGUGAGAGACAACAAUUCCUGUUGUUGUAAGCCACCCAGCUGGUGGGAAUUUGUUAGAGCAGCCCUAGGAAGCUAAUACACUCAGUUUUUGUCUAUUUGAAUAAAGCUGUUAUGAACAUUCA